Molecule: non-coding RNA, 852 nt
Organism: Oncorhynchus mykiss (rainbow trout)
Lineage: Eukaryota; Metazoa; Chordata; Actinopteri; Salmoniformes; Salmonidae
Source: RefSeq, a predicted model, not a curated record
AGUCAGGUACACGUUUUCAGGUGCAAGAGACCAGUCUUACUCUGAGCUUCAAGGUAGUAGUAGCAGUAGUAGUAGUAGUAGUAGUAUCUGGACCUACACGUUUCACUGCUUCAGAAGACACUGCUUGAAGCCUCAACAUGAAGUUCACCAUGACCCUGCUGGCUUUGCUGCUGUCUAGUCUGGCGAGGAGCGCUCUGUGUACAAGCUCUCAUAACCAAUGCUGUACUGCCAGUCACAGGUGCACACCGUUGCACAACAGAAUGUCACUGAACCGACUGAAAAUUCCCACGCAAAACAUUCAUCUUGGGAAAAUCUCACUGGCCCCCUGGAAUUACAAAAUUGACACGAAAGAAAACAGGACACCACAACACAUCAAGAACGCUUCCUGUUUGCCUUGUGUGGACAAGGGGCUGAAGGCAGUUCCGAUUCAGUAUGAGAUUGAUUUAAUUCACAGAAUAAGAUGUGUUGAUAAAUUUGUUCCUUGUAUGUGUCCUUGCUGGAUUAAUGUAGGCUGCACCUGUGUGAGAGAAUAACUCUGUGUGUAAGAGAAUAAACUGGUGUUGUAUUUCUGCUAUAGGUAUCUUCCUGAGUAGAGUAUGUAUUGGCCUGCAUCCCAAAUGAUUCCCUAUUCCCUAUAUAGUGCACUGCAGAAACAAAUAUAUCUUAGGGUUUUACCAGCAUUUGCAACUUGAGUCUGAUAAUUUUCUGUACAAAACAAUUAAUCUGAUAAUACUUGUGGAAUAUAAUUAUUAUUUUAUUUAAACACGUGAUAUAUGUUUUCCUGUUUCUUGAAAUACUUUGCAAAGGAAACUUAUAUAUGAAAAACUGAACUAUUCAUUCCUUUAUAAUAGA